GCUGAAGAACGUAGCGAAAUGCGAAAAGUAAUGUGAAUUGCAGAAUUCAGUGAAUCAUCGAAUCUUUGAACGCACAUUGCGCCCGCCAGUAUUCUGGCGGGCAUGCCUGUCUGAGCGUCAUUUCAACCCUCACGCCCCUAGGGCGUGGUGUUGGGGAUCGGCCAAGGCCCGCAAGGGACGGCCGGCCCCUAAAUCUAGUGGCGGACCCAUCGUGGCCUCCCCUGCGAAGUAGUAAUAUAUUCCGCAUCGGAUAGCGAUGAGCCCCUGCCGUUAAACCCCCAACUCUUUCAAGGUUGACCUCAGAUCAGGUAGGAAUACCCGCUGAACUUAAGCAUAUCAAUAAGCGGAGGA
RNAcentral lists this unclassified non-coding RNA (351 nucleotides) under soil metagenome. Its description in RNAcentral is "partial contains 5.8S ribosomal RNA, internal transcribed spacer 2, and large subunit ribosomal RNA". The stretch from base 3 to 120 matches the Rfam family "5.8S ribosomal RNA", at positions 37 to 154 of the family's 154-position model. The record is from RNAcentral.